This 138-nucleotide non-coding RNA is filed under the name Talaromyces stipitatus ATCC 10500. Its description in RNAcentral is "Eukaryotic large subunit ribosomal RNA". It matches the Rfam family "Eukaryotic large subunit ribosomal RNA", at positions 2626 to 2763 of the family's 3401-position model. The record is from Rfam by way of RNAcentral. Lineage: Eukaryota; Fungi; Ascomycota; Eurotiomycetes; Eurotiales; Trichocomaceae.
UGGGGCGGCACAUCUGUUAAACCAUAACGCAGGUGUCCUAAGGGGGACUCAUGGAGAACAGAAAUCUCCAGUAGAACAAAAGGGUAAAAGUCCCCUUGAUUUUGAUUUUCAGUGUGAAUACAAACCAUGAAAGUGUGG